ACCACCGCCGAAGAAACCAACGAAGAACACGCCUCCAUGAUCGCCGACCACCACCACCAACGUAUGCCGAUGAGCUUCAAACCACAAUCACUGGUAUCGAUUUCGAACGCUCAAAAAGGUCUUGACCACCACGAUCGCCGCCAUACGCCGACAAAGAUUUUUAGAAGAAUCCUACCAAAGAUCAAGAACAAAGAGUACCACGACACCACUUUGAAUGGUGCUACGCAAGAGAGAGGGAGAGCACAAAGCAGUUCCACAACUCCAAAAUCCAGUUCCGUUUGGUGUGUGGAGCGUCCAGCCGAGAAGAGAUGCUAGCUACACUUAGGAUUUUUCUUUUUCAUUUUGUUUGUAAUAUAGCUUAGGGUAGACGAUGAUGAUGAUGUUCGGCUCAUGGCCAUUGCUCCAAUUUGACAAUGUUUCAUGGCUUGUUUAAAAAGACAAGUUUGUACUCCAUUUUUGUUGCUGUAUUGGUUUCAGAGUGGUAUAUUUUGAGAUAAUGAGUAGUACAUUAUGAAAUUCAAUUAUCACUAUGGUGUCAAUUUCUUG
This is a long non-coding RNA of Rhododendron vialii, 546 nucleotides long. RefSeq lists it as uncharacterized. The record is from RefSeq and is a predicted model, not a curated record. Lineage: Eukaryota; Viridiplantae; Streptophyta; Magnoliopsida; Ericales; Ericaceae. The transcript has 2 exons.